CACACGACUCUCGGCAACGGAUAUCUCGGCUCUCGCAUCGAUGAAGAACGUAGCGAAAUGCGAUACCUGGUGUGAAUUGCAGAAUCCCGUGAACCAUCGAGCCUUUGAACGCAAGUUGCGCCCGAGGCCAUUCGGCCGAGGGCACGCCUGCCUGGGCGUCACGC
This 164-nucleotide ribosomal RNA is filed under the name Oryza latifolia. Its description in RNAcentral is "5.8S ribosomal RNA". It matches the Rfam family "5.8S ribosomal RNA". From Rfam's summary of the family: 5.8S ribosomal RNA (5.8S rRNA) is a component of the large subunit of the eukaryotic ribosome. It is transcribed by RNA polymerase I as part of the 45S precursor that also contains 18S and 28S rRNA. Lineage: Eukaryota; Viridiplantae; Streptophyta; Magnoliopsida; Poales; Poaceae. The record is from RNAcentral.